RNAcentral lists this ribosomal RNA (445 nucleotides) under uncultured Chryseobacterium sp. RNAcentral describes it as "bacterial SSU rRNA". It matches the Rfam family "Bacterial small subunit ribosomal RNA", at positions 354 to 796 of the family's 1533-position model. Lineage: Bacteria; Pseudomonadati; Bacteroidota; Flavobacteriia; Flavobacteriales; Weeksellaceae. The record is from RNAcentral.
GUGAGGAAUAUUGGACAAUGGGUGAGAGCCUGAUCCAGCCAUCCCGCGUGAAGGACGACGGCCCUAUGGGUUGUAAACUUCUUUUGUAUAGGGAUAAACCUUUCCACGUGUGGAAAGCUGAAGGUACUAUACGAAUAAGCACCGGCUAACUCCGUGCCAGCAGCCGCGGUAAUACGGAGGGUGCAAGCGUUAUCCGGAUUUAUUGGGUUUAAAGGGUCCGUAGGCGGAUCUGUAAGUCAGUGGUGAAAUCUCAUAGCUUAACUAUGAAACUGCCAUUGAUACUGCAGGUCUUGAGUAAAGUAGAAGUGGCUGGAAUAAGUAGUGUAGCGGUGAAAUGCAUAGAUAUUACUUAGAACACCAAUUGCGAAGGCAGGUCACUAUGUUUUAACUGACGCUGAUGGACGAAAGCGUGGGGAGCGAACAGGAUUAGAAACCCUUGUAGUCC